Molecule: ribosomal RNA, 472 nt
Filed under: uncultured bacterium
Lineage: Bacteria
Description: partial 16S ribosomal RNA
Rfam family: Bacterial small subunit ribosomal RNA (bases 20-337)
Source: RNAcentral
GACGAACGCUGGCGGCGUGCUUAACACAUGCAAGUCGAACGCUGAAGCUUGGUGCUUGCACUGGGUGGAUGAGUGGCGAACGGGUGAGUAAUACGUGAGUAACCUGCCCUUGACUCUGGGAUAAGCCUGGGAAACUGGGUCUAAUACUGGAUACGACAUGUCACCGCAUGGUGGUGUGUGGAAAGGGUUUUACUGGUUUUGGGUGGGCUCACGGCCUAUCAGCUUGUUGGUGGGGUAAUGGCUCACCAAGGCGACGACGGGUAGCCGGCCUGAGAGGGGGAAAGGGCAAAGAGGGGAGAGAAAAACGGCCAAAGGUCCAAGGGGGGGAAGGAGGGGGGAAAAUGAGAAAAAGGGGGGAAGCAGGAGGGAGGAAGGCGGGGGAGGGGAGAAGGGCCUUGGGGUUGAAAACCUCUUUGAGGAGGGAAGAAGGAAAAGGGGGGGGAGGGGAAGAAGAAGGGGCGGCAAAAUAGGU